UUGGGUGACAUAUACGGCGGGGUCCGACCUGAUCCCUUUCCGAACUCAGUCGUCAAAACCGCUCGUGCCGAUGAUACUUGGGUAUAGCCCACGGGAAAGUAGGUAGUUGCCCUUU
Molecule: ribosomal RNA, 115 nt
Filed under: Candidatus Doudnaibacteriota bacterium
Lineage: Bacteria; Candidatus Doudnaibacteriota
Source: RNAcentral